GGAGUGCCUGAAAGUGAGCAUAGAGCCACUUUACACUGUGUGUCCCCCACACACCCGUGGGUAACGUAUACAUCCUGCACAGUAAGAGAGUAACGAUAAACACUGAUUUCAGCAACCUCAUCUGGUCUGCCCCUCAUUUAAACCAACAACGUUGGAAAUCAUACUCUAAAGCCAGGUACCGUGGCUCAGGCAUGUAAUUCCACAACUCCGAAGGCUGGGGCAGGAGCUGCAGCAAGUUUGAGACCAGCCUGGGCUACAUAGUGAGUUCGAGCCCAGCUGGGGCUACAGAAUGAGACCCAGUCUUAACAACAACAAAAGCCGGCUACAGCUUGUCUUUGGCAUAUCCAGACUGCCUGCUAGGCAGAGACAGGAUCUCUGCCGUUUUGGUCUGAGGAUUCAGAGAGCUUGCAUCAAGUUGACAUAAAACUACCCAGCAUAGGAAGUUAACAACUCAAGAGUCUUGGGAAGUUCCUGAAACUGACCAGAUGUACAAGGACCAUCUCCAUUUCCAAGAUUAUGUAAGCAAGAGGACUGCUGAGGAGACAGAGACCUGAGAGAGGUGCAGACAAACCAAGCUCCCUAGAAGACAAUCUCCAACUUGUAGAGCUGCCUUCAAGUCAUACAGUGAGCUCCAGGAUUCUGAUUUUUGUGAGCAACCUCCCAUGCUGGAGAGGACUUUGGUGAUGCAGCUUUCCUUGAGUCACUUCUGAAAAUGGCUCAGUGAUUACAACACAGGCUGCUCUUCCAGAGGACCUGGGUUCAAUUCCUAGCAUCCACAGGGUGGCUCAUGAUCAAGUUCCAGGAGAUCUUCUGGCCUCCAAGGACAUGGUGCACAAACCUGAAGGCAAACCACACAUACACAUAAAAAAAAAAUGAAGCUUUAAAAGCUAAAAACAUCAUUGAAAAAAGUUAAUAAAAUUCCUCACUGUCAGUUCUAAAUCAAGUUUCUUCUCUUUGUGAGAGUGAAGCUGAGGUGGGAAGUCUUAAUUACAAGUAAAGAACAAACAUUGACUUUAAAUAAAAGUAAUAAACAUUGGUUAGACUUAAAUAAACCAAUUAGGAUAACGUAUUAUUCAUUGGUUUUCUUCAAUUAGCUAAUACCCAAAUGUAUUCUCCAUUAGGUGACAUUUCCUAUUUUUAGACUCCAUUUUUAUGUUCUCAACUGACUUAGAAUUAACUAGUCAGCUCCAUGUUCUGAGCCCAGGCCAGAGACGCAGACAGCAGCCAGGCACCUCUCCCUGCACUAACAGAGACAGCCAGCCUAUCAGCUGUGGUCUUCACUGCUUCUGACUCGUCUACAGAGACUGAAUGGAUUUCCCUGUUUAGAGGAGGGAGUUUUCUCUAGCACACUGGUGAUACUCCACCUACGGGAGCCCUCAGCAUUCCCAUUUCUUUUUCAGUUGGCUGGCACCGACUCACGUCAACACCAUAGUCCCCUUAAAACCAUCUUCCCCGUCAGCAUAAAGCCUUCUCCAAGACUAAUCGUGCUGCUACCCUCUAGCCAUCGUCAUCUCGAAAACAGAGCCGAUGUGAUCGCCUACAGGAGAUCCUCACAAGGGCAGAGGAUGUGACUCAGCAGACAGGAAAGCUAUAAAGAAGACUCAGACAAGCCAAGCUGCGAAGAAGACUCGGAAGACAGACCAGCUAUCUGGAAGAAGCAGAAACCAGCCAGGCUGCCUGGAAGAGGUUUAGACCAACUGAGUCACCUGGAGAGGACGCUCUCCAACCUGCUGAGCUGCCUGCAGGCUGUGCAGUGUGUCCCGGUUCCCAGCUUUGUGAGCUGUCACCUGUGCUGGGGUGGGCUUUGGUGAUGCAGCUCUCUUGAGUCAUUUCUGGUCCUGUAGGCAACCCCUCACCCAUAUUCUGUAAGGAACUCCAUUACAAGUAAAAUUCAUUGGUUCUGAGAAGGCCAAGCAAAUACCAUGACAGGCUCCUAAUAACUCAGUUAAGAACUAGGCUUCAGUUCCUACCUCUUGAAACUGAGCAGACAGUUUCUGAGGAAGCAUAAACGAAGGUCAAUCCAUCACCAACACCUCCCCGCCAACCCCGACAGCAAGGAUGAGGGGAACUGCACAUGUAAGGCCUGAGCCAGUCCCCAAAUGGAAAAACUGUAGCCUUAGCCAACCCCUACUAUCCCUAACUAAUCAGAAACAUUUAGUCAACCCCUACUAUCCCUAACUAAUCAGAAACAUACUGAUUACCACUGGUGUAAGCCAACCCUAGAUAGAAUGACCGCACUGCCUAUAUUCCUUUAGCUGUGUAUAAAAGAGCCUGCAAGCUUCUCUCGUGGUUGCCAUUUUGCCUUUGUGUCAGAUGUGUGGUGCCAGCAUGCUAGAACU
Molecule: non-coding RNA, 2339 nt
Organism: Peromyscus maniculatus bairdii (prairie deer mouse)
Lineage: Eukaryota; Metazoa; Chordata; Mammalia; Rodentia; Cricetidae
Source: RefSeq, a predicted model, not a curated record